Molecule: RNA transcript, 17769 nt
Organism: Nomascus leucogenys (northern white-cheeked gibbon)
Lineage: Eukaryota; Metazoa; Chordata; Mammalia; Primates; Hylobatidae
Gene name: translation initiation factor IF-2-like
Exons: 5
Source: RefSeq, a predicted model, not a curated record
CCCCCGCUCCGAUCCGGCGGCGAAGGGGUGGGCAGGGAAACGCGCUCUCUGGGACAGGUGCCAACUCCGAGACAAAAGACAUAAAAUAGGCGGCAACGGGGGAAGCGCGGCCGGCGCGCUCGGGCGGGGACGGCGGCGCCGCGGGGGCCGCAUCCUCGGUGCCGACCCGGGAAAGUUUGGGAAGUCGCCGCGGCGGCUUCACAGCGGCGGGGGACGCGCGGCCCGGGUCGCCCUCCGCGCCGCGCUCGCCCUCUCCGCGCCGCUGCUGAAUAAUUCAUGGCGCGGCCGCCGGCCAUUAGCAUGCACCGGGCGCGCGGCGCGUCUGUGCCAAGCCGCCGCCGCAUUCGGCGCCCGGGCAGCGCCAGACGAGCGGCCGCGCGGUGGCCGGGCCCACGCUGUCCCCGCGCCCGCCCGCCCGGCGGCGCCCAUUGUGCCCCGGCCCGCCCCGCCGGGCUGUCCCCAAGCCCGCCUGCAACCCACCGCCCGCCCGACGGCCCGACCCUGCAAGUCCUGGCUCGCGACGCCCGCCCCGGAAUGCACGUGAACUUGGAGAAAGUCGCGGGGCGCGCCGGCCGGGCUCUCCGCGGCAGGGCGUGGGCGUCCCCGGGCCGGCGCGCUUUCGUUUUCGUCUGGGACAAAGGUCCCUUGCGGCGCGCGGACGCCGUGACCGGGUCCUGCGGGCCACUCUCUGGCGCAGUCGGGUCGCUAAGCGCAGGGAAGCCGGAGCCCGAAGGCAAGGAGCGACGCGGCGCGGGGCCGGGGAAGUGGGGCCUGGGCCCUGCGCUUCGCCAGCGGCAGUCCAGAGCCGUCCCACCCUGCGAAGAGUUGCGGGAACUGGCACCGCUCUGCCGUCCGCCGCUUGGACGCGGGAAGAGGGUGAGCGUUUGGAACCCAGGACUCAGACUGCUAGCUGAGGGCCUGUGCAGCUCUGGGCACGCGAGGGCGGCGCCCGCGGCGGCCAGGCGCGGUCCUCCAGCAAGGGCAGGGCUGUCGACCUGUGCGCCCCAGGUCACGAUCGGGUUCACGGCGACUCCCGAGGACGGUAAGUGCACUUCUCACUUUCGCUGUUUAGUGAGUAAAUAUUAAUGAAGGGAUCUCUAAGACGGACCCUUCCGUAGGGCAGGCCUUCCACAGACCAGGGAACGCACCGAGGAGGUUGCUCUUGAACCUGAAAGCCGCACCAGCUUGCAAGAACUCCACUCGGCAUUAAUCUGGAUCUUGGAAUUUGUGAAGCACAGCUUCUAAUCUCAGGUGUGCAGGCUAUUUGCCAGAGAGAAUCUUGUUGAACACAUAAAAUAAGCGUUAGCAGACAUCUUAAACACAAUGGGAAGAAAAGAGAAAACAUCUGUUUUUAGAUUUUUUUUUUUUUUUUUUUUGGUGAGAUGUGUUUGGAAAGGUUAUUGGGAAGCUACAACUCUUUCUUGGAAGAUUGAAAUAUUUCAUUUACUUCCUAAACCCACGCUGCUGAUUUUUCCCCGUGGUCGGACACUUGGGGAGAGCUGAUUUCAGGGGGGAUCCUCGGUUCGACGUUGGCGGCAUUUGGGCCGGUUCAGUGAAAGGCUCUUGUGUGAAAGCUGCUGUUUACGGUGGUGUAAAACGAAAAACAAUACAUAACUUUUUGUAAUAAAUGCCCCUUUAUAGGUGCCUCACACACAGGCCCAGCUAGUGGCCCUGGGGAGUUUGUGAGGAGCAAGAAAGGGGUGAAGGAAUGUUUGCUUGCUAUGAUUAUAGGGUUUUAAGGUAACGUGGAGAUUAAUUUUUUCAAAGUUGGGUUUCAAAAGCCGAGGCGGCCUGCAGGCCAGCGAUAGCUUCAUUUUAUUUUAGUUCAUUGAUUCUAGCUCUUUGGGGUUUUAAAAUACGUGUUUGUCCGUGUGUGUAAGGAGCUAGGGUUAAAAUGAAACCCCAAACGGUGGGGAAUUGAGCCUGCUUUUUAAUAUGAUUGUGCCACAGGUGCAAUUUCCCCCUGUCCUCCCCAGCUUACUGAGGUGGUUUGGAUAAUCUUGCUGGAUGUUUUCACCACAAAAUAAUGGGGGGCCUGUUUCCAUAACACCCCAGGGCCAUGAGCUGGCUCUUGGAGGCUGUGUUUCCGGGAACACGGACAGAGGCCUGGGUAGUCCAGGCUUGCCUCACGCCUCCCUCCCCCUCGGCUGCCUAGUGCCCUCCCCAAAAACCCCAAGGACUGAGGGGACCAUUUCAGUCGGGUCCAGCCAGCCACGGCCGGAGGUGGAAAGUUUGCCUCCGUGCUGGAAGAACUAACCUUGGCCGUCUUUUUUGCUGGGCUGCCUCCCCCAUUGCCCCCUCGCCCCAUUUUGGGUUUUUAUUUAUGACUUUAUCAGAGGCAGUUAGCGGACGUGAAACCUGGGGUGGGACAUUCGGGGGCGAUCUCAGAAUCGGGGUGCAGCUGCAGAAGGCAUGCCGUGAUAGCCGGGAGCUUCUGCUUGGCAUGGCGUUGGCAGUGACGAGGUUGGUAGUUAGAAGAAGCUCAGGUUCCACCGGGGCCUUGCCUGUAAAAUGCUGGAGACGUUUACCCGGAGGCCACAGCAGACUGGGAACAUGGCACGGAGGGCAGGCAUGGUGUGGCACUCUACUGAGGCUGCAGGGAGUCCCUCUGGAUUAAAACAGAUUCCGAAAGAAGCGGCAUCCAGCUCUCCUGCUCCCAUAGGCCAGACCCGGGGCUAGCCUGGGAAAGGCCUGAACGUCGGAGGAGGCAGUCUCCAGGGCCGCCAAGUGAGGGCUGCUAUUCGUCAAAGCUCCAGAGCCCUGUCUCCUGCCAUACAGUGUGCCCCUGGCCCAUGAAAUGGGAUGAGGUCAAGAUUCUGCAGCCAACAGUUGGGGCCAGCGCUGGGCACAGAGGCCUUGGCGAGGCCCCGUCCUGCCUUUGUCCAUGUUCCUUAGAGCCAGCUCAGCCUGACAGAGUCUCAGGGUCCCACCAGGGGCUUCCCAGUGGUGUUGGAAUCUCCCAUCCCGGCACAAUUCAUUUUUGAGGGCACACACACAAAAGAGAAGGCUCUGAAAAUGAAACUGACACUUGUCUGUUUUUUUAAUCACUUCUGGAUUUAACAUCAAGAAUGUGGAAAGCAGUGGGCCAGGGCCACAUGGACUAUGAUGUGGGCUGGUGGAAGGAUGGGCCCCGGUUUUUCUGGUUUUGUUUUAAACCAGGGCCUACCCCAGGAUAGUCCGUCGCCUGUGCUGGGGCCUCACCAGGCCCCAGACCCUCCUGGGCGAGAAAGGUCUCCAGGUUGCUGGUGGGGACGAGCUGGGCUCCACUUGGGCAGUGCCCUUCUGCCAUGGUGAGGUCUCAUGCACACUGCCUGAGCAGGUGCAGCCUAGCAGUUUGCCUUGCUCCACAGGAACGGCGUGGUGCUUUGCAGCAGGGUUACUUUUUGUUAUGUGGUUUGCACCUGGCUGGGUCAGGCUGUCUGUGUGAACCUGUCUCACUCCCUUCGACCCCCUAAAGGGCACUGGGGCCUGUCCUACCCAGCAUGGAUGGGGUAUGACUGGAAGGCAGACUGUGUGGCCCAGGAGGAACUGGGAAGAGCUCUGCCCACCCAGAUGGGCACCCUGCCUGGGCAGGUGCUGCCUCGUGUCCAGGGGAACCUCUCGUGCAGUGUAGAUGCAUGCCUGUGCUGAAGGGCGGCCUCUAGGAAGGGAGGGGUCCUUCCAGGCCAGGCAAGAAACACCAUAAAGCCACCAUGCUUCCUUGGGGUGUUGUCGUUGGGUUUUGAGGGUUCUUUGCAUGUUUGGGGAGAGAGGAGAAUGCUCUUGCCGAAAUCGCAGCAAGCUGGAGUCUGAACACCCUGAGCUUCAGUCUGCCUCUGCCCCUCCCUGGGUGACCCUGGCACAUCUGAGCUCCUCCCUCAGCCUGGAUUCUGAGCUAUAAAGCGGGAAGAGUGUUAACCCACCUCAGAGACUUCAAACAUUAUUUCCAUAAAGCACCAUUCCGGGCACGUUGUCGGGGAGGGGCGGGACAUAAAUGGCUACUGCUAUUGCCACUUAUUGUUGUCAACAAUAAUCACUGUUUUUGUUUAAUUUUUAUUUAUUUUACUUACCAUUACUAUUAUUUUAUAUAUUGUAUGAUGUUAUAUUCUAAAUAACAGAUAACCCAACUUCAGUCUCAUCAGAAAAUGAACCAAGAAGUUUACUCUGCCGGCCCCACAGGUGGGAGCAAAAGUGGACGUUGAUGAUAUCUCCCAGGUAGACUGGCAGGAGCUCACAGAGCCAGCACUUUCCUCACCACAGGGACUUGGUGUGAAUGUGGCUUCCAGAUGCAUCUUGCACUGCACAUUGGGUACACAAGAUGAGACCAGGGUCUCUUUGGGGACCCGGGAAGUGCUGAUGGAGGAGGCGCUCCUUCCCAGGGGCAGGACAGAAAGCGUGCCUGGGUGCUGGCCCUGGGUCUGACUUUUGCCCCCCCACCCACCCACCCACUUCAGGGGCAGGAAAGAACGGGGCAGGACGUCCUCAUGCAGGGGCCCAGAGCAGCCACACCAGCCACCAGCGUCCUCGCUGGAAAUGCAGAUGGUGAUUUGGUGGGAGGGCUUCAUCACUCUGAUGAGCUAAUUGUUCUCUGGCCUGGUGCAUUAACCAAAAUGCUUGCUUCGGAGAAUUUUCGCCCUAGCUGGUCGUUCAGGAAGACCCAGCAAGAUCGCCCUUGCUGAAAACAUCUUGUCGGAAUGAGAGAGAGCUCUAAAUGGCAUGGGUCAUGCUUUCUGAUAUUAUAGAACUGAGUAGGGAGAAAAAGCAACAAUUGUCUCCAAGCAGAGACAAUGGAUCUUUCAUAUGAAAUAUUUAUUUUCAGGGCUGCCCAGUGUUCCCUGGGCUGGGACGGUCCAUGAAGCUCGAGCGUCCGGGAAUAGCAAGCCCCAAACAUGUAGUUGGGGACAGAGAUUUAGAGAAGAAAAAAGAAAGUCUCCUGACCUGUGAUUGUUGAACAAUUUCAGUGGGCAUGUCUGGCUUUCUUUGUCGAGUGGAGGCUAAGCUUGCACGAGUUAAUUUUGUUUUCUUCCGUGAUUUCUUUUUGAAAGCCGCAGGGCUGCACUUGGCGAGUGCUAGAAAGAUGGCCAGGUUUGGGAUCGUGGGCCGGAUGGGGCCUCCGUUGGCCAGGCCCAGUUGGCCUUAGCCGGCUGGGUCACAAAAUGGAAGCGUGAGGAAAAAUAGAGCCCAGAAGAGGAAGGGUCUGUCCCCAAAGGGCUAAGGGAGAGGCCAUCAAGAGGGCGAUUUGGGCCAAUAUUUGUGGUUUUCCAGUGUCUACUCCUCCCCAAAUUCCAUUCUCAGAUGAACUUGGGAGUGGCCCGUAGGUUGUGGGAGAGUCUGGCCUGACUUGGUGAAGCCACACACAAGCAAACACCCUUCCGGGCUGGAGAGGGUGUUUUUGUAACUCUGACAAAUGUGGCCCAGAGUUAUGGCUCCGUGAAUAUUUUCUGAAUUGAUAGAAGGAAGAGGCCUACACACGAGCCAUCCCCCGGUCCCUUCUCUGAGGUGCUGGAGGAGCUGCCCCGGGGAAGCCAGGCCAGAGCCCAGGCUCCCGUUAGCAGAUUUGGGAGGAGUGGGCCGUGCUGGGGCUGUAGUGAAGCAUUCCUGUGGUGCUAGGGGAGCGUUGGGAAGGCUGAGGUGGCCCAUCGGCUGGGGACACCCGGCGCAUUACAGGGACCUGUCUGGACACCCCAGCGAGGCCUUGAAGGAGGACAGAUGAGGGAGUGACCCUGAGGUGGGGGACCAGGGUCACCCAAGCAGCUUGGCCAAUUAUAAUAUCUGGCUUCAGAAAUGAGGUUUUAUUUUUUUUGUCAAUCGGCUUUCACGUUUUAUUUUUCUUUCAAUGCCAGAGCUUCUCAGCUUGGCCCCUGUAGCCCUGUACGUUAGCCCACUCCGAAGACAUUCUCUUUCAGGAUGUCCAGGAGCCUCUGACACUAUGGGUAGAAUUGGUAUCAUGGAAAUCAUGAAAAAGAAUGAAAUUUUGUGACAAUGGGCAGAAAAACCCCAAAACCAGGUUUCUAGUCACUUUUUUGUGCGUGGUGGGAGGCAGUUUGAAAGUAAAACGAAAAUCGGGGAUGGGAAGCUUCUUGGUGGGGUCUGGACUGGGGAGUCUCAUCUUUCUGACCACCCAGGAACCUAUGUGGAGAGAGUGGCUGGGCCCACUGUCCAGCCAGCGCCGAGAGGGUUUCCGAGUAGAGAUGUGACCGCAGGGUCACCGGUUAGUGUCGUAAAAUAGGACCGGUGGUUGUGGUUACUAAAUGUGUGCAUGAGAUCUACACGGUAAAAAGGCCAAACAAUUUUUUUUAAAGCAGUGAUAGAAUUUUCCCUCCAGAUUUAAAAAGAAUCGUCCCUGAUGCUUUUGGCUUUCUAAAACCGGGGCGGUUUUUUUUCCCCCCCACACUGUGGAACGCCCUUUCCUUAAUUCUGGCAUUUCAGAUGGCAGGAAGAGCAUUUAGCUGAAAUAUUUACCUGCUGAUUUGGGGUUCUUAAAUUUAGAAUCCCCUUUCAUGUGUUUAAGAGAGAUAUUUACAUUCAAAUCAGCCGUUUAUAAUUACAUUUUAAAUUAUAAUAAAAUGAUGGUGCCGGCGCUCCAGUUUUCCGUGUAUUUUAACUGUAAGAGAAGCUGCCGCGAAUUGAAUGGGGGCUACCCAUCACCCAGAGCCCCCACUGCCCACCGCGUGGGUUCUGGCCUGCCCGGGCACACGUGUCCUGAGCAUGGCGGCUACAUGGGUGUUACCUGUGGGGCCCUCCCCGCACUGCAAGGAGAAGGGCUUGACGGGGAUUCUGGCCCCACACAGUGUGAUGGUGGCCCAGCCUCACCGCCUGCAGCUCCAUCUGAGAAGGGCCUGAUACAGGCUGGGGUCCAGGCCCACUGCCCUCAUGUCCUGAGCCCCACAGUGGCCUGCAGGCCUGCUUCGGAGGCCUGCUUUGGAGGCCAUUAUCUCCUGGGCAGCCAGCCGGGCACAGCAGUGGCCACUUCUGGUCGAGGCAGUUCUGUGGGUGGGGGGACGAGCAUCGCCUCCUGCAACCGUAACCCAGGCCCUGCCUCCCCUGCCAUGGCCCUGUGGGUCCCGUCGUUGCCAUCUCGUCCUCAGUGGCUUCCCGAUGUUGCCUGCUGGCAGGGCAGGCCCCGCGCCAUGGAGCAUGAGGGACCCUUCCCCUCCCAGGGCCAGGCUUUUGGCAGCCAGGCCAAGCCGCUGCUGGAAUGGAAUUCCCGGCGUUCCUGGUGGGGCGCGUGGCAUCGGAAUCCUACCUGCUUUGUCUCUGGCAUCAGCUGGAGAGCCAGUCACGUGGCCGUGUGCGUGAGACCAGAGCCCAGGACUGAGGGCUCCUCCCGGGCGCUUCCUCCUCGCUCACUCACCCCCACCCCCUUUUUUUGGCUUUCAGCAGGACUGGCUCUGAGCAGGCGUAAAACAGUGUUAAAACUGAAUCCAGGCAGCAGGGAGCUCCUGUCCACGGCGGCAGGCUCUCACAGUCCACCGGGCUCUUGCGGUCCACCCAGACCACCCUUUACCUCGAGUCCUUAUGGACAGAAAGGCCCUGAUAUGUCCCAUACACCCAGGAGUUAGGCCCAGAGCUGGGCAGUGGUGACUCCAUGCCAUUCCCUCUGGUGUAGAGCUGGCCCUGCCUGCCCCCAGAUGGCCAUGGGGUGGGUGGCACUGCUUCCUGGGGAACCCCUUCCCACACUUCCAGCCUUGUUUCUCACCCACACAAGGACACCCCAGUGGUCACUGCUGCAGCUCCCGGUCACAUAGAGGUUGAGAGGGGAGAGCUGGACAAACAGGUGACCCAGCAGACCCAGCCUGAUGCCCGCAGGAGAGAGCAACGGGGUCUGAUAUUUUGUCUCCAAAUGAAAGAGCCACAGUGAACCCCCGGGCCUGCCAACCCCAGUUGUAGGGCCAGAGAACGGGGAUGUUUCCCUGAGGUGGUGGCAAGGUUUGGUUUGGUGAAAAUGAAGGAUUUGUGAGGGUCUGAGAGGGGAGGGUGACGGGCCUAGACUCCACCCCUGGCGCCCUGUCCACCGCGGCUGGCUGGCCACUCUCGGACCCCUCGGCGUCGAGCGCUGACCGGGUGCCUGCCUGGGGCUUGGGGCUCUGUGCAUGUUAAUUCUGCCACUGCAGCAGCCCUGAGUGGGAGGAGCCAUUAUCCCCUUUCUUUCUAUAGAUGGGGAAACUGAGGCAGGCUUGCCCAUGGUGAAGUGGCUGGUCGGACACAGGUCCAGAUUGAAACCUGCAGCCUCGGCUCCUGGCUACAACAGCACCAGCCUCCACAGGCAUUAGAAGGGGGCUCCCUGCAAGGGCCCCAGCCAGGGCAGCUUUCAGGGUGGGGUCUCUGGCCUCACCCUGGGGAAACGGCCGGGGCGCUGGCUGCCUCCUGCUGAGCCUGGCGUGGGAACAAUGUGGCCUCUAUCCCUGGAGCGAGCCAGGCCGCCUGGACGCCCAGCCCUUUAGAGCAGCCCGGCCAGGCAGGCGCCCACAGCAUGGCGCUCGGGCCGCGCUGCCUGUCCACGGGAUGCGGGCGCCUUGGCCAGGCCCAGGCAGCCGCUCCCUGUGUCCUCCCUGGCCGGCCACUGAGUGGCCAGACGCUGGCUUCCUCCUCCCUUUCCCGCCCGGCCAGCCUCCUCCUUUUCUGGUGGUGGGUUUGGGGGCCCAGCCCACCCGCCACUGCCACGUCUGCCAUCCUCCCGCACCCACGAGCAUCUUUCAAAAAUUCCCGGUGGGCGGGGCUGAGCUGCAGCGGCCGCCUCUGCCCCCCCCUCCCCGGGCAGCCAGUGCCAGAUGAGAGCAGAAGACAAAAGUAGCAUUUUCCUCGUACUCCGGGGCUGGCAGUGGGGCCUUCCCCCAGCACCACAUGGCUCCUGGCAGCCCUGCCCCCUGUGCCCGGGUGGCCAAGGCCCAGCCGGGCCCACUGGACCGAGGGACGGUGGCAGCCAGAGACUAGGGGGCCCGUGGGCCCAUGGCUGGGGCUGGCACCGGGCAGCCUGCUGGCCGGCGGGACCUGCCCUCCUCCCCCACCCGGGUGACCGGCCGGGCCCAGGGACGUCAUUUUCACUUCCUGGCUUUGGAGAAGGCACCUCCAUCCUUCGGCACCUCGGAACAUGGCCCCGUCCCAGAGCACCACCCGAGACAUCAGGAGCCCAUCGUGGGCUUGGGAAGACCCUCCGGGACCUCACAGCCCAGGUCUUCCACCCUCAGUCACCUCCCCAGGUGACGCCUGAAGCUCAAGGGACUGUGUCCACCCUCAGGCCCUGCCCGUGGCUCCGCAUCGGUGGUCCCCAUCAGAGGCCUGGGCUGAGUCCUCAGGUGUGUGAGUACCAUCUUCCCGUGACCCGGUGGCCCUGCGAGCACCCCGCUGCCAGCCACAGCUCGGCCGCCCUGGGCCUUGGCCUCCCUGUCUGUGCAGUGGGGUUGGUGGCGAUCACAGGCUUCUGCACUGCACAGGCUGGGAGGGAGUGCCAUGUGGCUGCACGCCCAGCCCAGGAGCAGCAUCGCUGCUGGACCUUUGGGUUCUCAAUAAGAUCUGGUGAAGAGACAUGGAGACCACUGCUGGGCGGGGGCAGGAAGGCAUCCGUGUGGCACCCUGGGGCCGCCCAUCUGUUGGAUCUGGGGGUGCUGCCUGCCAGGCUCUACUCUGCAUCCAGCGAGUGUUUGUUGGAGGCAGUGGGGCCCGUGCCUUUUGUCCAGAGGAGGCCGGAGAAGGGGACACAAGAGGGGAAUGGACAGACAGUCACUAGACAGAUGAGCAGGACGGGGCUCGGGGCUUGUUUGGGAAGUAGCUGGUGCUGAGCUUGGCUGGGGCAGGGCUCCAGGAGGGGCCGAGUGGGCCCCACCCCGGAUCCUUGUCGGCAGGGCCCCGAAAGUUCCAGGCUGUGGGGUGGGUGCUGUGGAAGGUGGAGAGGGGAGCAGCCUCCCAUCCCUGGAGCAGGUCCCCCGGCGUCCCCGCUGUGGGGUGGGUGCUGUGGAAGUGGGGCAGGGAGCAGCCUCCGAUCCCUGGAGCAGGUUCCCCAGCGUUCCCGUGGCAGCCGCUUCAUGGCACAGUGGUCCCCGGAGUUCAGGCCAGGCCCUCGUGCCUCCUGUCUGGGGACCGCUCCAAACUUGGGCAAAUGUCCCCGGGUCUGGGGACAAAGGAAGGUUUUAAAUCCAGGAGCCCUGGCUCAGUAGACCCUUGCCACCUCCCCCAGAGGUCAUGCCUCAGGCUAGGCCACCUGGGCUGCAACAUGGGAGGGCAUCAGUGCCCCAGGCAGCGCCCAGUCCCCCAGGGCCACUGCGAGACCCUUAGACGGGACAACAAGGCCUCUAGAAGCCCCGGCUGCUGGGAGCCUGGGCAGAAGAAGAGCCCACCUGCCUGUCUCUGGGCCCAUGCACAGGGCGGGCACUGUGCUGCUUUUCCGGUGGCUCCUCCUCCUCCCGGCCCCAUCACCACUCCCACCCGCAGCGGCCUUUGUUUUCCAAGCGCUCUGCAAAAUGGCCGCCCGGCCUGCCGCCAUUUUGUAGCUGAGGUGGCGGUGGCCUUGGAGAGGCCUGGGAGGGAGGGUGGCCAUGGCCUGCCUGCCUGCCCUUGGCGGCCUGGACAGAGCCCAGCGCCGGCCCCCGCCUAGUCUGGCCUUGGCCGUGGCUGCCCCAGGCUUGGCACCAGCCAGCCCUUGGCAAGGCAGCCCGGGAGUCCUGGCCCCUCACCCAGCCCUGCCGGCCCCUCGCCACCCUGAGGCAGCCCUGCCGAGCAGACGGAGAAACCUUGAGCCAGGGCCGGGCCAGUACAGCCUCGCUGGCGGGGGAGCCCUGGGCCGAGGGCAGCGCAGGCAGGUGUGGGGCCCACCUGGGCUCCCGGCACCUCUGCAGGGGUGAUGCCUUCAGGCCUUGACCGCUUCACCUAUUGUGCUCCUGGCCUGGCCCAGCCGGGAGUGGGUCUCUCAGUGGCCAGCCCAACUUCUGGCUUAGAGAAGGGCACCACCAUCCUCAGGAAGAGGGCAGGGCCGCACUCUGUCCAGGAUUCCCCUGUGUUGGGGCCAGCCAAAGUUUCUGACACACAGGAGUGGAGGACCUGUUCCCUCCUGGGCCCCUCCACAGCCCCCACUCUCCUGCAGGCCCCAUCCCCGCAACCUCAGCCAUUCCAAACAGCAUCUCCCUCCUCAUCAGAGCCCCUCAGCCUCUCCUGAGCCUCUGAGCUUGCUUCCUGCCCCGUCACAGGCCCAUGCACCUGCCCUUCCAGCACCCAGAGGAUCCCAAGUGGCACAUUCCCAAAGGGACGGUUUCCAGGAAACCCCCGGGGUCAGGGUGGCUGCAGGUCAGCAUCAGGGAGAUGCUGGGUGUUGGCCGUGGAGGACAAUUGUGCCCCUGGCCUGGCCAGGCAGGGAGGGGGCAGGUGGACUCCGCGGGAGCCCUGUGGGGUUGGCUACACAUGGGUUCCUGCUAUCCUUGCAACAAGGUCCCCUGGAGGGCAGUGCGCCUCCUAGAAGAAGGCGAGAGAAAUCACCACGUGAAGCAGGGAAUGGCGUUUGAUGAGUGUGUGCUUUUUCUAGGGGUCGACACAGGUCCUCUGGGUGGCAUGGAGUGGUGCCGGCUGGACCCCACGGUGGCCUGUGUUCUCCACGUGGCCAUGGGUCGGUUCCUCGCUGGAGGAGACCCUUCCCCAGACACCUGCUGGGCACCCAGCCAAGCCCUUGAGGCCUGGGUACGUCUCUGGACGCCACCCUACACCCCGCCCAGACUCCUCUCCCUGUGGUUCCUGGACAGAACAUUCCGUCACCACGAAACGAAGUUUGCCCAGGCCCUGCCCUCACCCUGGGGAAACCCAGCCGGGCAUGGGAAGGAGGAAUGCUGCCCGCCUGCCUGCCCAGACCAGAGUCGCCCCACAUGCCAGGCCAGGCCCGGCCCGUAUCCUCCUGGGGCACACGGGAGCCCCAGGCUUCCCGGCAGGAAAAGCACCCCCCCCACCCACAGAAGGGCUGGUCCCUGGUGGGGAGUUGCUGCUGGGUGGGGUGACCGCAGGGCGGGGUUCAGGCUGGGGUAUUUUUAAUGAUGUGGUUGCAUCUGGUCACCGCCCCCCGCCACCCCCGAUUCUUUCCUGCCCUCCCCACCUUGUGACCCAGACUGUGGCUUGAAUUAAGAAUGUUUUCAGAUAAGUACACGCCUUUGAGGUUAAAAGUAUGCCUAAUGAUUAAACACCAGACAGAGAUCCCCACAGGAGAAGAGCGGGCUCCGCAUUCCUGCUUUUCCCCUUUGGACUCCAAGCGAGCCUGUUUGCGUAACCCUGGAGCAUUAAAGAGCAGCUUCCCUGGAUUCUCCCCACAGCCCUGGGGGCUGGCGUCCUGACCCAUCAUACGGAGGAGGCAGCUGAGGCCCAGAAGGGUUAACCUACUCCAUCCCAGGCCCAUCACUGAGGGAGACAGAGCAGGUCAGAACCAGGCCUGGCAGCCCCUAGGCCUAUGCCCCAUGGAUGCAGGUGCGUCUGCAGAGCAGGGUCCUCCCCUGCCAGUGCCAGCCCUUAGGUGUCUUGGGUGCUGCGUUACUCUUGUGAGCUUCCACGCUCACCCCUGUGGCCACAACGUUGGUGCCUGCUGGACCUCUGGCCCUGUUCUAGAUGCAGGACAUGUGGCCACAGCAGGCCUGGCCCCUGCCCCAGGGAGUGGACGUUCCCUGAGCCUGUCCCCCACCCCCACUGAGAACUUAGUGGCUAUGAGAGAACAGGAAAGCAGGAAGCUAGACAGGGCACAAAUCCCCGACGGUGUAGACCCUGACCUGGAGCACGUGGGUGUCGGUUUUGGGGAAGCCAGACAGGGAGGGUGCUAACAGGAGGGCCAGUGAGGGGACCUUGGGACCCCAGACAGCCCUGGAAGGAAGGCAGCCCUGGGGUCCAGGCCAUGCUCCAUCCUGGGGGCACCUCUUUCCCACUUGUGUGUGGUGUGCAGGGCUCGGGGAGGAGCCUGGAUCUGAGGAGUGCAGUUCCGGUUGUGGCUUUGCCACAGCGUCCCCGUGGCAUGCUGUUGGGGACCAUGAGACUGUGGGCGGCCUAGCUGUAUUGCAGCCUGAGGCCAGAGGGGAGGUCAGUAACCCUUACCCGUCCCAUCUUGAUUUAAGUUUGAUAUUUUGAGAUCAUGGACCUUUCUGCAUUGAUUUUCUUUUUUAAUUUUGCAAUAAGAUAUUUCUGCUGAUGGCUGGGUUUUUGGUCCUUUUAACAUGCCUCCCACGCCUCGCCCUGGUCCCCGACCUGCCGCGGCCGAGCCAGAGACGCAGGCUGCCCCGUGCGUGUCUCGUUAGCUUUCUGGGCCGUGUUUGCAGGAGGCCCGCCUCCCGUCCGAGCCCCCAGACGCCACCCCUCCCCGUCUUUUUCCCAGACCCGUUGUUGGCACGGCUUGCUGAGCAGAGACACAGGCCGCUUUAUGGGGAGAAACCCAAUCAGGGUGGCGGGGGUGUGCUCCUUGGGGGGGGUCCGGCUCCCAGUGGCCCUGAGCCAAGCCCGAGGUGACUUCGGGGUGACACCGUCUGUCUGCCUCACUUGCUCCAGACAUCCGCCCGGCCCUGAAAUGGCCACCUGCCCACCGAGGCCUCCGCACACCUGUCCUGGCUGGCCUGGCCCCUCCCCCGCCUGGGCCUGCCGGGCACCCUGCCCACGGGCAGACACCGUGGGGCCAGGGCAGCGGCCGGGAGGUGGCAGCUGGCAGAUGGCAGAGCGCCUGCCGACUGCUCACUCCCCGUCAGCUCUGCUCAAGGAGCGCCCGCCGUUCACGCUGCAUGGCCUGCCCAGCCCUCCUCCAGGCUGGCUGGGAAGGGUCUCUCUGGUCUGUCUCGGGAAGCCUCCUGAGAAAGGGGAGAUUCCUGCUGUCUCCCCAGGCCUGAGCCCCAUGCUCACCCCCAGGGCUGCCGGGCAGGUGGGCCUGGAGAUCACCCCCGCACACACCCCACAACGCAUGCAACUGGACUUCUCUCCACCAGCUCAGAAAUGGCUCCAUGAGUGGGUCACGACGCCGAAACAUCAGUCUUUCCCCACCCCACGCCCAAGAAAGCCCUGGUUGUCGGCUGCAGUUCUCCUGAUUCCGUGCAGAUCCUCCUGCGGUGGGGGUGGAGCCUGCUGAGGUCACAGCAUCUGUGUCCUGGUCCUGUGGAGCACAGCAGGGUUGGGUGUGCAGGAAAUGUGUCCAGACACCCUCCUCAGAGUCCCCCGGAGCGGGCACUGCCACACUCAGGCUCCCUGACCACCGCAGGCCUGGGUGGUCCAGGUGUGAGUCCUGGAGCCUUGGGGGCAGAGCUGGGACUCACCAGGGAAUACGGGGCCCUCUGGGGAAAGGAGCAGGAAAAAGCAGGGUGGUUGUGCCUGGCAGAGGGACAGGCCAGGGCAAUGCUGGGAGCAGAGGCCUGCCCGGGACACUUGCUGCUCUGGGAGGCUGGAGGGGGAGCCAGGGCUGCGGGCAAGCUGGGGAGGGGCAGAGACAGUAGAGAGAGUGUCAGCAGUGGUAGAAUGCCUGGCUGGCUGGGAGCGCGGGCAGGGCUGGUGCUCAGGGAGGAGGAGGGAAGGGCACCCCCCACCCAGUGUCCCCACAGGCCCCUCAAUAGCCUGGUGGGUGGCUCUCCUGGUCCCCAGCAGGGCUGCCCUUGCUCGAGGUCACACGGUACAGGGCUACAGGGAAACAGGGUAUGUCUGCUCCCAUCCAGCGUCUUGGGCUCAGCCCCGGGAACCCACAUCCCUUCCUGCCUGGAUGCACCUCUCUGGCCUUUGCACCCCGUGCCUGUCCUGCAAGGGCACUCCAGCCAGAAUGGGCUGGAGUGAGGUGAAAUUUUGAUUCACUGGACAAGCCCUUGCUGAAGCCCUGCAGCCCCAGACUGGAUCCUGUGGGCCCCUCCCAGGGGUUUCCGCUUGUGGGAGGACCCCAAGCCUUCCUUGUCCUGGGUCCCAGGGGAAGCCACAGCCCCCCUGGACCCUCAGCAUCCUCCUCGGUGCAGUGGGGGUUUAACUCCUCCCUCCAGGGUCCAGCCACCUGCUGACAGGCCAGGCGCCUGGGAAAGCGGAGCCAGGCUGUCCCCCCGUGCAUCCUUCUGCCCCCCUCUGGGCCCUAGAGCAUCGAGGCACCACCGUGGCAGGGCACAGGCUUCCCAGCAGGGGAACAUGACCACUGACUACUCAAGGACAGGCCUGGGUCUUGGUCACCUUUGACCUGGCAUUGUCCAACACAGGGCUGGCCACAGAGGCCAUUCCAUCCAGGCCCUUGCAGGGGUGGGUGAGCCACUAGGCGAGAGACAGGCCAGGCCGGAGUGUCAGUUCUGGUGUGGGACAGCCCAAGGUCACAAAGGGGUUCAGGGCUGGGCGAGGCCACGUCUCUUCCAGAGCUGACACUUGUCACUUUUGUUUUUAAAACCCAACAGGUCAAGAAGUGGCGCUGACCUGGAGCCCCUGCCUGUGGCUGGCCUUCCUCACAGUGAGCUGGGCGUCCUGCCAUCCUGGCUCUGGAGGUAGGAGGAGCCGUGGGAGGUCUGAUAGGGAGGGAGGGCUAUCUCAGAGCCAGGCCACUUCCGGUCCUCUCCAGGCCCCACCCUCAGGCACAGAGGUCCUUAGAUGGGGACUUGAUGGUCUCAUGGCCAAACCUUCGCCCAGGCUGUGGCCUCCCCUGAAGCCAUGUCUCUUCUUGUCUUCCCGCCACUCUUCCAGCAAGCUCCCCCCGUUGGCCCACCUCAUCUGCCCACCGUGCACUUGGGGCGUGGUGACCUUUGUCCCUGGUGGUGCACCCCUCAGGCUGGACAGAGCCUGGAAGAGCUGUGGAUCAUUGCGGGGCGUCUGAGUGGAAGAGGCACGCCCAGCCUCACCUGCACACCCUGAAGACUCACUCUCUGGCCCUGGGCUCUGUUGUGUGCACUGCCUGUCUGCAGGGCCCAGCCUGCCUCAAGCACUCCCUGGGGACAGAAGCUCCUGCGGUAGCCUCUCCUGUCACCUGGCCACUGGUCAUCCUGGAGUGCAGCCCUCAUGCCCCGAGGCCACCUGCCAUCACCCAGGAUGACUCAAGAUGCCACCUGGCUGCUCUCCCCGAGAGGCUACUUCCCUCAAGGAAGGAAAGAACUAUGUCCCACCACCUCCUGCAGUAUGGUCAGCUCAGGCCAGCCUGCACAGCAGGGCCAGAACCGGAGCCCCUGGGGAGGGAUGCCUGUCUGCCCAGUGGGAGGAGACAGCACGCCCCUGGGCUGCUACUCAGCCAGCUUGGGGGCCACGAGUGCUGCUUCUGGCGGCGCUGUGCGGGGAGGGAGGGGGCCGAGCACUCGCACGCCUGUGUCUUGCUGGCCUUGGACAGAUGACAGCCCUCCUCCCAGGGUCUCCAGUGCAGAGUUCCUUGGGAACAUUAUGGCCACUCCUGUCCAGAUGAGAGGGGGCCGGCUGCGUGUGACAGCGUCGCAAAAUGCAGCUAGGGUUUUCCCUCCCUCCUCCUUUCUCUCUUCCUCGUCCCUCUCUGGUUGGUGGUUUCCUGCAGGCUCCUGUCCCUGCUGGUGCUGGCCCACAAUGUCCCCACUCCCAGGGAUUCAGCGUCCCAGCCCCCUGCACCCACCACGCCUGCCCACCGGAAUCCCCGUGCCCUUGGUGCCUGUGGCCUGCCAAGCCCCGAGCCCCUGUUCUCCUCAGCCCUCUUUCCUCCCCCGCUCUAGGAGGUGCCUCUGGAAGCCAUGGAGUCCCAUCGGCACCAAGACCGACUGCCCUUUGGGGUGAGGUAGUAGGUUGUAUAGUUUGGGGCUCUGCCCUGCUAUGGGAUAACUAUACAAUCUACUGUCUUUCCUGAAGUGGCUGUAAUAUCUGCGGUGGACAGAGCAUCUGGAACCCUGGCUGGGAGGGGGCAGGGGCAGGUUUGGGGGCAGCCUUGGCAGCAGUCGGGGGCAGGGGCUGCCUACACUAAGAAUUCUGACAGGCCUAGGCUCUUCUUGCUGUGUGACCUUGGACAGGCUCCUGAUCUCUCUGGGCCUCAGUUUCCUCCUCUGUAAAAUGGAGGCAAACGAGGAUGGAAGGAGAUGUGUGGAGCAUCGAGGGCAGAGGAGAGCUGAGCCGACCCCACCUCUGCCCCCGCUGCACUGAGAGAGGCGACCCAUGCAGCUGUUUGUCUGACCUCUGUCUCCCAACACUGCCCCCGCCAUCAGGCCCAGGUUCAUGGGUGGCCCUGAGCCGUACCCUCCACUGAGCACCAGGAGAAGGCACUAUGGGGCCAGGGGUGGCCGAGAUGUUUGGAGGUUGCAGGGCUGUGAGUGUUGGCCUUGCCCAUCACCCCAGGUGCCCAGCACGUGGCCAGCUCAGUGGCAGGGCCUCUGCCUGCGGAGGAAGGGAGGCCAAGGCACCUGUCCCGAGCAGGAAGUGAGAGGAACAGCUCUGCAUACACUGGGUCCCACAUGGCACAAUCUGAAGGCAGACGGUGGCUCCUCCGUACCUGGGGAAACUGAGGCCCAGAGAGCCAGGGGCUUCCUGAGACCAGCCAGCAGCAGUUGCCCCUUCCUGGGGUGCCAUCUCCCCUGUCCCUCCUGCCCUGCGCCUGCCCAGCCCUCCUGCUCUGGUGACUGAGGACCGCCAGGCAGGGGCUGGUGCUGGGCGGGCGGCGGCGGGCCCUCCCGCAGUGCAAGGCAGGGCCUGGCGGGGUGAGGUAGUAGGUUGUGUGGUUUCAGGGCAGUGAUGUUGCCCCUCAGAAGAUAACUAUACAACCUACUGCCUUCCCUGAGGAGCCCAGUGACACGACCCCACGGGAGGGCCGCCCCCCACCUCGGUGACCUGCAAGGGGCCUGAGCCGAAGAUGGGUGAGCAUCUGGGAGCUAGAUUCAAUAAAGCUGUUCUGACCAUGAA